RNAcentral lists this ribosomal RNA (742 nucleotides) under uncultured bacterium. Its description in RNAcentral is "bacterial SSU rRNA". It matches the Rfam family "Bacterial small subunit ribosomal RNA", at positions 8 to 796 of the family's 1533-position model. The record is from RNAcentral.
AGAGUUUGAUCCUGGCUCAGAACGAACGCUGGCGGCAGGCUUAACACAUGCAAGUCGAACGGGCCCUUCGGGGUCAGUGGCAGACGGGUGAGUAACACGUGGGAACGUACCUUUCAGUUCGGAAUAACCCAGGGAAACUUGGGCUAAGACCGGAUACGCCCUUUUGGGGAAAGAUUUAUCGCUGAGAGAUCGGCCCGCGUCUGAUUAGCUAGUUGGUGAGGUAAAGGCUCACCAAGGCGACGAUCAGUAGCUGGUCUGAGAGGAUGAUCAGCCACAUUGGGACUGAGACACGGCCCAAACUCCUACGGGAGGCAGCAGUGGGGAAUAUUGGACGAUGGGCGCAAGCCUGAUCCAGCCAUGCCGCGUGAGUGAUGAAGGCCUUAGGGUUGUAAAGCUCUUUCGGCGGGGACGAUAAUGACGGUACCCGCAGAAGAAGCCCCGGCUAACUUCGUGCCAGCAGCCGCGGUAAUACGAAGGGGGCUAGCGUUGUUCGGAAUCACUGGGCGUAAAGGGCGCGUAGGCGGCUUGAUAAGUCGGGGGUGAAAGCCUGUGGCUCAACCACAGAAUUGCCUUCGAUACUGUCUGGCUCGAGACCGGAAGAGGUAAGUGGAACUGCGAGUGUAGAGGUGAAAUUCGUAGAUAUUCGCAAGAACACCAGUGGCGAAGGCGGCUUACUGGUCCGGUUCUGACGCUGAGGCGCGAAAGCGUGGGGAGCAAACAGGAUUAGAUACCCUAGUAGUCC